CGUCCAUGAAGUCCUUCUGCAUUGGUUGCACUGACUACAUAUCGCCCUCAAGUCAUGGAAGGAGCGUCCAUCAAAGAUAGGCGGAGAGCUUGGAUCAACAGCCGACAGUGCACCACUUUGGAGGAACCUCAAGGGUUGUUAUCCACCUCGAUGAUUGACGACAAUGUCUUCCCAGAUGAAAAGAUUGAGAGCUGGCUUCGUGGCUGUAGGUGAGUCAACCUUUUUUGUUUUUAAGAUGCGAUUCAUUGAAUGUUGAUGAGAGGUGAUGAAGGGAACAUGUAACUCAUUGGAAACGGAUGACUUCAGAGAGUGGAAAGUCUGUAGCUGUAAAGAUGCU
Molecule: long non-coding RNA, 337 nt
Filed under: Oryzias sinensis (Chinese medaka)
Lineage: Eukaryota; Metazoa; Chordata; Actinopteri; Beloniformes; Adrianichthyidae
Description: lncRNA (ENSOSIG00000023191.1)
Source: RNAcentral